RNAcentral lists this ribosomal RNA (444 nucleotides) under uncultured bacterium. Its description in RNAcentral is "partial 16S ribosomal RNA". It matches the Rfam family "Bacterial small subunit ribosomal RNA", at positions 355 to 788 of the family's 1533-position model. The record is from RNAcentral.
UGGGGAAUACUGCACAAUGGGCGCAAGCCUGAUGCAGCCAUGCCGCGUGUGUGAAGAAGGCCUUCGGGUUGUAAAGCACUUUCAGCGAGGAGGAAAGGUGGUGAACUUAAUACGUUCAUCAAUUGACGUUACUCGCAGAAGAAGCACCGGCUAACUCCGUGCCAGCAGCCGCGGUAAUACGGAGGGUGCAAGCGUUAAUCGGAAUUACUGGGCGUAAAGCGCACGCAGGCGGUUUGUUAAGUCAGAUGUGAAAUCCCCGGGCUCAACCUGGGAACUGCAUUUGAAACUGGCAAGCUAGAGUCUCGUAGAGGGGGGCUAGAAUUCCAGGUGUAGCGGUGAAAUGCGUAGAGAUCUGGAGGAAUACCGGUGGCGAAGGCGGCCCCCUGGACGAAGACUGACGCUCAGGUGCGAAAGCGUGGGGCAGCAAACAGGAUUAGAUACCCU